AUAUUGAACUCUUAGCGGGGUAUGGGAGACUCACCAUUACCAAGCCCACCUCCCGAUGAUACGAUAUUGGUUAGCAAAAAUAAUGAUGAGAGAAUAACGCAUUAUUCAUUUACAACUUUUGUAAUUACCCAUCCGUUUGGCCUCUAGAGAAUGUUGCCUCACGAUGAUACGAUAUCGGCACCAUUGCACUUAGUUAAGUCAUUCCCACCAUGCUUAGUUCAUGAAGGGGUUCAAGAAUAGCCUCACAAUGAUAUGAUAUCGGCUAUCCUCGUUGCCUACACUCACCUCAUCAUAUGUUUAUGGACUCCUCCUGGAUGUAAGCACAUACUUUGUACUCCCCCAUGAUAGGGUGAAGCCGGUGCAUGAGUCACAAACGAUUGGAGCCCACCACGGUAGAAGGCCUACGAAGAAAUGUUCAAAACAUCUCUCGCUUAUCAACUUAAUAUUCGUUAGUCGAGGGAGUAGUUUUGGGCUACAUCAAAAUCAUUUUAAUCAUAUUAAAAGAACAUGGGCCUAUCACAACUAUUGGUCCAAGUUUAAUAUGAAUUAGUAGUUUAUAAUACUCCCACUAUUUCGAAGAAAUAAGUGAGACUAUAUGGAACUACUAACGAAUGCAUUGCAUCCUCAUGGACUAUAUAGUCAUAUUAGGUCUUAGGAUGAUUAUGACCCGAUUAAUUUGAUCCAACACGAGCCUUGUGUUAGACCUUGGGUUUAAGGUAGAUAGUUGUUGAUUUUAGUUACGCGUUUAAUCCAAUUAAACCGUUAUUUCCUAUUGGGCGUUGGACCCAACUAUUCCAUUUUACAUACAAAUAAACAAAAGGAAUACAUGAAAUAAUAAGAAGGGCUUAAGCCCUUUUACAACACAAAUCAAAUGAUGGACUUAUGUCCAUUUACAACAAAUUGAAUUAAUCAAAUUACAUUCAAAUCUAUACUACUAAAACCCAAACAUUCAUAAUGUAAAGCGGCCAAUCACAUAGCUCAAUUAUCGAGGCCUUUGGUUCAUAAUCACCAUUUUCUCAAUUAAUCACAUUAACUAAGAAAGCAACUUAAACAAUUGGUUUUUGGAUCCAUAGAAUUGAUUUAAAUGGAACUAAAUGAAAUGAAAAUCCAAUUCUCAUUAAAGAGACAAAACAAUUUUGUUCUCAUUUUAUUUGGGCCAAAAGGAAACUAUGACCACAACAAUUGGGCCAUAAUGCAAAUACAAAAGCUUUUGGGGUCACUUUGUAAAAACACAAUAGUCCACAACUUCAUGUAAUUACAACUAGAUCCCAAAAUUUUAUUAAUGUAAAAACAUCAUUAAAGGAUCAAAACAAUUCGUCCUUUAGCGUUUUAGGGCCUUAACGUAAAAACGUAAACUUUUGGGCCAAAGUGCAAAUACACAAAAGUAUCAAAACUUUAUGUAAUUGCAUAAAAGAUCCCAAAAGUACCCCCACUAGGGGGUGGCCGGUUUUUAGAGAGGUAAAGUAGUGUGAAAGGGUUUUAUGCAAGUUGAGCAUGCAUGUGCAAAAUGCAAGUGGAUUUUGGUCGGUGAGUUAUUGGUGAAAUUGAUAUCUAUGACAAAUCAUUAAAACCAUUUCAUCACAUCUCACCAAUAACCAUCAACCAUCAAUUAAUAAACCAAAACUUUAUGAAAAACAUAAAACUUUAGAAUCAAAACUUCAAACCCUUUUGUUCUUGGCAAGAACUUCAAGAACAUUGAAGAACACCAUGAAAACUCAUAAUAGCUCCAUGAAUGUUUUCAAUCACCAAAACUCAAUUUUUCACCUCUCAAAAGAGGGCUAAUAUCCUAGGGUACUUAGGGGUUCCAAAAGUCACCUUAAAACCAUUUUAACAAGACAAACAUGAACCCAAAAAAUCACCCUAAGGAUUUGGCCGAAUUUCCCAAAAUACAUGGCACCAAAUUUUAGUUCCAAUAUUCAUGCUUGAAUGAAAUACAUCUACAACAUUUGAGAUGCUAAAUUUUCUAGCAAAUUUAUAUAUUCAAAAGCAAGAACAAAGCUUGUAACAUUUACAACAUUUAAAUCACAAAAUAUGAAAGUCACAAAACCCAAAAGGAUUCACCAUAAACUAGGCCUAGGCUCUGAUACCACUUGAAGGAAAAAUUUUGUCCUAGCUAAGAACAAGUAUGAACAUUUGAAUACUCAUGCAAGCAAUUAACACUUUAAAGUAGGCAUGCAUUAAAAAACAAUUCAUAAAACCCAUGACUUUCAAAGCCUAGUAUAUGGUGAACCAAUAAACUCUUUGACAACAUUAAAGAGAAGUAAAGAUUUAGAGUUUCUUUACCCU
This 2286-nucleotide long non-coding RNA is filed under the name Malus domestica (apple). RNAcentral's name for it is "long non-coding RNA (MDOM_LNC013397)". The record is from RNAcentral. Lineage: Eukaryota; Viridiplantae; Streptophyta; Magnoliopsida; Rosales; Rosaceae.